UAAAACAUAGUGCCAAUUCACCAGAUUCCAUUAAAAUUAUGCAGUUAAGUGCGCUCAGGCUAGAGUAGUACUAGGAUGGGUGACCACCUGGGAAGUCCUAGUGUUUUAC
Molecule: non-coding RNA, 109 nt
Organism: Picea glauca (white spruce)
Lineage: Eukaryota; Viridiplantae; Streptophyta; Pinopsida; Pinales; Pinaceae
Source: Rfam